AGCCACCAUUCUUCUUUUCCUUCUCAAACCAGCCGUGCAACACCAAGAGAAGGAGACCAAAAUUCCUUCUUCAUUCACCUCUCAAACUUGCACCAAAUCACUUGAAAUUUCUACCACAAACUCACAACAACUUGGAGAUUCAUCUAGGCAAGGAGGGGAGCUUCAUUUCCACGGUUUUCUUGAGGCUCAAAGUGACCAAAAAUUUCUGAUCUAGUCAUCCAAGAAGGCGCUCAAGGGGACCUUCAAGAGGAACUCGAAGUGGACGCCUAGACAUUUGUUUGAGUAUUACUCUCUUGUUGCUAUAGGGUUUACUGGUAAGUACGAGCAUAACCCGAGGACGAACUUUUGACAUUUACUCUACUGAUAUCGUGAAUAGAACGAAAAUAUCAUAGCAAGUGCCAAUUUGACAGUCAUUAGGAAGGAAUUCAAGUAAUAGGCGUCCAGGGGCUAGGGAAUAGAACGAAAAUAUCAUAACAAGUGCCAAUUUGACAGUCAUUAGGAAGGAGUUUAAGUAACAGGCGUCCAACGGCAUUUUUGGGAUAUCAAGACGCGACCCUUUUUGGUAAUUUGCGGAAGACAGCACUGGAAAAAGGGAACAAAAGACCGAACUCUUCCUCACCGUUGGGGGGCGCCGCACAAUAGCUAGGCAUUAGAGUAGGAGCAUCAGAUAGGAAAUAGGAAUAGCAGGGAACUAGUACUAAUGGAGAUUUAGCUUUUGACUUUUCUUUGCAUAGGCUCUUGGUAGCUUUAUUCACUCGUAUGUCAAGACCAAUUGAAACAUUGAAUGAUUCUCUGUGACUUCGCUUUUCGUCAACAUUCGACGAGUUGAAUUUGCCAAA
This is a non-coding RNA of Coffea arabica (coffee), 839 nucleotides long. The record is from RefSeq and is a predicted model, not a curated record. Lineage: Eukaryota; Viridiplantae; Streptophyta; Magnoliopsida; Gentianales; Rubiaceae.